This 531-nucleotide ribosomal RNA is filed under the name uncultured bacterium. RNAcentral's name for it is "bacterial SSU rRNA". It matches the Rfam family "Bacterial small subunit ribosomal RNA", at positions 8 to 526 of the family's 1533-position model. The record is from RNAcentral.
AGAGUUUGAUCCUGGCUCAGGACGAACGCUGGCGGCGCGCUUAAUACAUGCAAGUCGAGCGAGAACCAUGGCUUCGGCCAUGGGGACAGCGGCGAACGGGUGAGUAACACGUGGGUAAUCAACCCCCGACACUGGGAUAGCCCGGGGAAACCCGGAUUAAUACCGGAUGGCCUUUCGAGCUCUCGGGCUCGUCAGAAAAGGUAGCUUCGGCCUCCGGCCGAGGAGGGACUCGCGGCGGAUUAGCUUGUUGGUGAGGUAACGGCUCACCAAGGCGACGAUCCGUAGCUGGUCUGAGAGGACGAUCAGCCACACUGGGACUGAGACACGGCCCAGACUCCUACGGGAGGCAGCAGUGGGGAAUCUUGCGCAAUGGGCGAAAGCCUGACGCAGCGACGCCGCGUGCGGGAAGAAGGCCUUCGGGCUGUAAACCGCUUUCAGGAGGGACGAAGCCACUCGGGUUAAUAGCCCAGAGGGUGACGGUACCUCCAGAAGAAGCCCCGGCUAACUACGUGCCAGCAGCCGCGGUAAUUC